This 82-nucleotide transfer RNA is filed under the name Verrucomicrobiia bacterium. RNAcentral describes it as "tRNA-Ser". It matches the Rfam family "tRNA". Rfam says of the family: Transfer RNA (tRNA) molecules are approximately 80 nucleotides in length. Their secondary structure includes four short double-helical elements and three loops (D, anti-codon, and T loops). The record is from RNAcentral. Lineage: Bacteria; Pseudomonadati; Verrucomicrobiota; Verrucomicrobiia.
GCCAUCUUAAGACAGGCCGAGACACCUUGUUUUCUGAUUUGUAAUCAGUCGGUCGUCGGUUCGACUCCGACAGCUGGCUCCA